GUUGAUCAUCAGACUCCGCAGUUAAGCGUGCUUGGGCGAGAGUAGUACUAGGAUGGGUGACCUCCUGGGAAGUCCUCGUGUUGCAUUCCC
RNAcentral lists this ribosomal RNA (90 nucleotides) under Vigna mungo var. mungo. Lineage: Eukaryota; Viridiplantae; Streptophyta; Magnoliopsida; Fabales; Fabaceae. The record is from RNAcentral.